AUACGUAGGUGGCGAGCGUUGUCCGGAAUUACUGGGCGUAAAGGGCGUGUAGGCGGCCUUUCAAGUCAGAUGUGAAAUCUCAGGGCUUAACCCUGAAACUGCAUUUGAAACUGGAGGGCUUGAGGACCGGAGAGGGCAGUGGAAUUCCCAGUGUAGCGGUGAAAUGCGUAGAUAUUGGGAAGAACACCAGUGGCGAAGGCGACUGCCUGGACGGCUCCUGACGCUGAGGCGCGAAAGCUAGGGGAGCGAACGGGAUUAGAUACCCCGGUAGUCCUAGCCGUAAACGAUGGGUACUAGGUGUGGGAGGUAUCGACCCCUUCCGUGCCGCAGUUAACACAAUAAGUACCCCGCCUGGGGAGUACGGCCGCAAGGUUGAA
This 377-nucleotide ribosomal RNA is filed under the name uncultured bacterium. Its description in RNAcentral is "bacterial SSU rRNA". It matches the Rfam family "Bacterial small subunit ribosomal RNA", at positions 523 to 898 of the family's 1533-position model. The record is from RNAcentral.